GACGAACGCUGGCGGCGUGCUUAACACAUGCAAGUCGAGCGGUAAGGCCUUUCGGGGUCCCCGAGCGGCGAACGGGUGAGUAACACGUGGGUGAUCUGCCCUGCACUUCGGGAUAAGCCUGGGAAACUGGGUCUAAUACCGGAUAUGACCUCCUAUCGCAUGGUGGGUGGUGGAAAGAUUUAUCGGUGCAGGAUGGGCCCGCGGCCUAUCAGCUUGUUGGUGGGGUAAUGGCCUACCAAGGCGACGACGGGUAGCCGACCUGAGAGGGUGACCGGCCACACUGGGACUGAGACACGGCCCAGACUCCUACGGGAGGCAGCAGUGGGGAAUAUUGCACAAUGGGCGAAAGCCUGAUGCAGCGACGCCGCGUGAGGGAUGACGGCCUUCGGGUUGUAAACCUCUUUCAGCAGGGACGAAGCGCAAGUGACGGUACCUGCAGAAGAAGCACCGGCUAACUACGUG
Molecule: ribosomal RNA, 462 nt
Filed under: uncultured bacterium
Lineage: Bacteria
Description: partial 16S ribosomal RNA
Rfam family: Bacterial small subunit ribosomal RNA
Source: RNAcentral